UUAAUUGAAACCAAAAUUCGAGGUAUACCACUGUUAAUGGUAUUAAUGAGGAAAUCUCCAAUUAAG
RNAcentral lists this transfer RNA (66 nucleotides) under Propomacrus bimucronatus. RNAcentral's name for it is "tRNA-Asn". Lineage: Eukaryota; Metazoa; Arthropoda; Insecta; Coleoptera; Glaphyridae. The record is from RNAcentral.